Triticum aestivum (bread wheat) is the source of this 4298-nucleotide long non-coding RNA. RefSeq lists it as uncharacterized. The transcript is spliced from 8 exons. The record is from RefSeq and is a predicted model, not a curated record. Lineage: Eukaryota; Viridiplantae; Streptophyta; Magnoliopsida; Poales; Poaceae.
ACCCCCAAAAGAAAAUCCCCACUCCCCCCGCCGCCGCCGCCGCCGCCGUGCGAGGGAUCUCCGGCGACCGGAGUCCCUGGCCCCUAGGACGCAUCGACCUUCUUCACCUGCGACCUCGCCGGCCUGCCCUGCCUCGCCUGCGGCUAAGCCGGACGGCAGUCACGGUCGCCGCACCGACUAAAGAUACAGGAGCGGAGCAGAGAAGGGGAUGGCAACCGAAGUUGGGGAUGAACGGAAGGGCUUCGGCCUCGGAUCAUAUUGCUCCAGCUCGAAUGUCUCAAGCCGAGGCUCCUCUUUUGCUCCAUCCUCCAUGCUCACCGACAAUCAGGAGGAUCAUAUCCUGUACCAGCUUGUUUAUUCAAUGAUGUUCUGAAUUUCUCGGGUCGAGGCUUCUCUUUCUGCUCCAUCCUCCCCUGUAAAUUUCAGCCACAUUGUUGGGUCAGCUAUCUCAAAGGUUCUAUUUGGAAGUGCAUCCUCGACAAACUUAUGCAAAUCCAAUGAAUCUCUGAACGUGCCUUCUGUUGGCCUCCUUCCGGUAAACAUCUCAAGCAGCAAUAUGCCAAGACUAUAAAUAUCACCAGCUGUUGAGACUACAGAGCCUUCUCCAUACUCUGCAAUUAUGCAAAGGUUUGUGGUUAACAUGCCAUAUUUGAGUGAAAAAGUAAAAUAUAAAGUUAGAAGAAUUUUAGUCACCUGGAGCAACAUAACCAAUGGAACCUCUAAUUCCAGUUAAGCUAUAAGAAGUUUGUGUCCCCUCGCUUGUAUUUUCUUGAAGGAUCCUUGAUAUGCCAAAGUCUCCAACUCGUGCGCUCAUGUCCUCAGCAAGAAGAAUAUUGCUUGGCUUAAGAUCGCAAUGGAUUAUCAAUGUUUGGCAGUAGUUGUGCAGAUAUUCUACUGCGUCCACAAUAUCGAUAGCAAUGUCAAGCCUCUGGACCAUGCUGAGUGUGUUGUUUGUAGUGAGUUCUUGAUAUUUGGGAUGAAGCCAUCCAUCCAAGUUACCAUUGGGCAUGAACUCAAAAACCAGUGCCUUGAACUCUUGACCUUGAUGGUCGAUGCUCGAACAAGAAGUAAUGAUCUUAAUGAGACAACGGUGUCGUAUCCUUCUCAUGGCCUCACACUCAGCCCCAAAACUCUUCGAAUACCUAGAUUGACCAAGAUUAAAAACUUUGACAGCCAAUAUUGUUUCUUCGGUGUCCAAAACACACUUAUAAACUGCACCAUAACUUCCUCUGCCGACCAAGUUGGCUUCUGAAAAUUCGUUAGUUCCUCUCAGUAAUGCAUGAUAGGGGAUUCUUCUGUAAUGGUAAUCAACAACUGAAUCUUUUGCUACUGUCUUCUGGCUUGAUUUGAGCUUCGUACAAAGUAUCCAAACAAGAACAAUCAUUGUAAGUGAGAACAAGAUUGCUCCACCCACUGCUAGAGAAAUUUCAAGAGUCUUUGGCAUCUUUUUUCUCUUCUUGCUUAAGUCCCUUGUGGGGCAUGGAGCCAAAUGAAGUUGAGGUGUACCACCACACAAAUUGACAUUCCCAACAACCGCUAAGUAUAGUUCCUGCAAGUUUCCAAUACUGCGAAGGGCCUCAGGAAUAUUACCAGACAACUUAUUCAUGGUCAAGUUCAGUAUCCUGAGCCCCUUUAUGUUCUUUAGUGACUGAGGCUUGCCGGAAUCGGCCCCUCCAAGUUGCCAUAAUAUGCAGUCAUGAUAACCAACUGCGAAAGGUUCCCCACCGAUGAUGGAAUCACCCCAAAGAUCAUAUUGUCACUCAAGCCUAAGUACUGGAGAGUCGUUGAGAGGUUCACAACAGAACCCGGCAUUUGUCCUCCAAAAGAAUUUUUGGCAAUUUCCAAUCGCUGCAGUUGGCUGCAGUUUGCCAAAGAAGUGAUGAAUUCCCACCCUUCCUUGUCAUUUGCUUCAAGCUCAUUGUCUGCAAAGUACAGGCCUUGUAGAGCUCCCAGCUUCCCCAACGUGGGAGGCACGUACCCACUAAAUCUAUUUUGCGCGAGACUAAGAUGUCUGAGAUCAGACAUAUUGGAUAGUGAUGAUGGGAGGCCUCCAGUGAAGUGAUUAUCACCCAAGCCAAGAACUUUCAUCUUGGGGAACUUGGUUCCGAUAUCAGCUGGAAUGCUUCCGUGCAACAUAUUGAAUUGUACGUCAAAUUGUUCCAUUGAAGACCAGUUGAAUAGAGAAGGCGGGAGCAUACCAGAGAGGUUGUUUCCGAAAAGAACGAAGAUCCGCGUGCUCUGGGUGCUUCCAAACCCCGAUGGGAUUGAGCCAGUAAGCUGGUUUGUGCUGAGUUCGAGAGCUUCCAGACGGGACAGAUUCGCCAGUGAUGCCGGGAUGGGCCCUGUGAAGAUGUUGUUUGUCAGGGAGAGCACAGCCAGGGACGUGAGCUUGACGCCGAGCUCAGCCGGGAUGUGCCCGCCAAGAGUGUUGUUGCCCAGUAGCAUUAUGGUCAUGCCGACACAGGAGCUCAGGUUGGCAGGUAACGUGCCGGAGAAGGAGUUGUCAUUGAGGAUGAGAUUCUUCAGGCGGCGGAGGCUGCCGAGGCUUGCGGGAAUGUCACCGUGGAGCGAGUUGAAGCUCAGGUCAAGUUCCCGCAGGAACGUGAGAUUCCCAAUGGCCGGGGAGAGUGGUCCGGUGAGCCUGGUGCCGUUCAAUAUCAGUGCCACCACCCGUGCCGGCCUUCAAGGGAUGCAGAUCACGCCUUCCCAGCUGCAGAAGCUGGUGCUGCUGUUCCAGGAGGCCAGUGAGCCGCCGUCGUUGAGCUGCGCUUUGAAAGCAAGCAACGCGGCCUCGUCGCUAGCGGUGACCAUGGCGGCCGUCAGGAUGGCUAGAAAUGAGCAUAGCCAGCCCAUGACCCCGUUUGCCAUUGCUAUGCCCCUCUUGGUUCUCUUGGUUUGGUUGGCCGCUCCGUAUAUAAUAUGCUUGUGGCCUCGCCUUGUGCGUGUUGCAAGGGCAGAGCGUCACUGGGCCCUCAUUUCCUGGAAAUAAUACGGAAAACCACUUGGAGACGACCGGAUGUCAAGAGCGCAAGAGGCGUCAGCAAUGGCUGCUAAACAGAGGAAUAAUUAAUGAAGCAGCAUCUUGCCUUAUCACACAAGUGGUCCUGUGCUGCUACUGCAUGUGCCAAGACCCAUGACCAUAGUCUUGCCUUUUCAGACCGAUGACCAUAGCAUAUAAACUCCAUCGUUAUGUUAGCCUUUUAAUCUUGAUUAUGUAUCUGCAUAUGUAGCUUUCGUUAUGCACGUAGUUUAGUCUAGGUGUAGUCAGUGGCUCAGUGUCGCCGUCUGCCGGAGAGCGUGCACGGUGAGAUGCUACUGCCGUGUGAGGCGGCGGAGAUGCUAGGUUUUUUUUUUUGAGGGGUCGGAGAUGCUAGGUGCCGAGUGCCGUGUGAAGCCGACAUAGACGUACGAGACCUGGAGCCCACGGCCCGCAAGGAGUUGCAGCCGAGUGAAUUGCUGACUUCUGUUAAUUUGUUAGUUGCAUGCGACAUGCAAGUCUGUUAGUGCAGCUUGGUCAAGUUUGUUGCCGAGUCACCUUGAUCUGGAGAUAUUCCAGGAAGAGGUGGACGUGCGGCAGUGCAUGGAUUAGUGGGUUAAUGGCCGUGAGUGCCGGCUAGUUAGUGCGUGUGGCAAACCUCUCCUAUGUGUUAUAGGCAUUGCAUUGAAUUAAUGAAAAAGUCUGGCCGUGAGGGCCGAGCACCAAAGAUGUAGCCAAUGUAUUCAUCAAGGAGAGAGUACCUCGGCAAAAAGCUAGAGGCUGGUCUUCUCCUUGGUGUGUGUGUGUGUGUUCUUGUGUUUGAGAGAGAAACAAGAGGAAGAGAGAGCUGUGUGAGGUAGAAGAAGAGCGGCGCUGCGAGAGGCGGCGCCAACAAGUUAGACCUAACUCUCUACGUUUCUGUGAUGUGUCCGUAGAUCAAGAGUAUAAUCCUAUCAUGUGAUUGUAACUGCCACUUUUAUCGGUGUCUGCUCCGGCAAGCCCCCCAACGUUAAGCAUCAGUGCCAUCACCCACGCCAGCAUCUGGUGGCUGCAUCUGUUGCUUUUGCAGCUCCAAAACACGGCGCUGUUUUUCGAGUGCGAGAGCCGGCAUUGCCCGGCCUGCGCUUUGAAAGGAACCAACGCUGCCUCGUCGCUAGCAGUCGCUGUGGCAGUUGACACGCCACAUCAAAGUAAUGAUCCCCAUUGCCCCUCUUGUUUUGGUUGGCAGUAGGGCCUGCUCUCCUCUGUGUAUAUUUUGGUCUUUCUCUUGGUUUGUGAGGCGCGGAUAUUCUGACAAUGUAUGAGAAAAUAGCUAUGUGUA